ACAUAUUCUUGUCUUAGUUUGCUGUCUAUUACAAAUCAUGCAUUUAACAGUUUUAUCAUUUCCUUCUUCUUCUUCCUCCUCUUCUUCCCACAUGAGUUGCAACACUUGUUAAUUGAAAACAAUAGUACUAUAGCAGAGUUUUUAUUAUUCAUGCUAACUAGGAAUACCUAUAUACUUGUGGUUUCACAUAUAUCUAAUUUGUUCACUUUCUUUACCUGGGUAUGUAUCAUUUUGGUGUAUCGUUUAUUAAAAGUGUUUGCUGAGAUUGUUAGUUAUAUUAGUUUUCGGGUUUUCGAUGUUAAGUCCUUUCUUCUUUUUAAUGUAUAUAUAAAUCAUUGUAUUCAUCUUUCAGGAACAUCAAUAAGAAG
Molecule: long non-coding RNA, 368 nt
Filed under: Lupinus angustifolius (narrow-leaved blue lupine)
Lineage: Eukaryota; Viridiplantae; Streptophyta; Magnoliopsida; Fabales; Fabaceae
Description: long non-coding RNA (LANG_LNC000898)
Source: RNAcentral